This 509-nucleotide ribosomal RNA is filed under the name uncultured Streptococcus sp. RNAcentral's name for it is "bacterial SSU rRNA". It matches the Rfam family "Bacterial small subunit ribosomal RNA", at positions 32 to 506 of the family's 1533-position model. The record is from RNAcentral. Lineage: Bacteria; Bacillati; Bacillota; Bacilli; Lactobacillales; Streptococcaceae.
CGGAAACGCUGGCGGGCCGUUAGGCCUAACUAACAUAGCAAGUAGAACGACUGAAGGAGGAGGCUUGUCUCUUCUUGGAUGAAGUUGGUCGAACGGGUAGAGUAACGACGUAGGUAACCUAGCCUGGUAGCGGGGAGUAACUAUGUAACGAUAGCUAUACGCAUAACAGUAGAUGUUGCAUGACAUUUGCUUAAAAGGUAGCAAUUGCAUCACUACCAGAUGGACCUGCGUUGUAUUAGCUAGUUGGUGAGGUAACGGCUCACCAAGGCAACGAUACAUAGCCGACCUGAGAGGGUGAUCGGCCACACUGGGACUGAGACACGGCCCAGACUCCUACGGGAGGCAGCAGUAGGGAAUCUUCGGCAAUGGACGGAAGUCUGACCGAGCAACGCCGCGUGAGUGAAGAAGGUUUUCGGAUCGUAAAGCUCUGUUGUAAGAGAAGAACGAGUGUGAGAGUGGAAAGUUCACACUGUGACGGUAUCUUACCAGAAAGGGACGGCUAACUACGU